RNAcentral lists this transfer RNA (88 nucleotides) under Zancudomyces culisetae. RNAcentral's name for it is "Selenocysteine transfer RNA". It matches the Rfam family "Selenocysteine transfer RNA". The record is from Rfam by way of RNAcentral. Lineage: Eukaryota; Fungi; Kickxellomycota; Harpellomycetes; Harpellales; Legeriomycetaceae.
GCACUGAUGAGAUCGAUCGGUUUAUCGGUGGCAGGCUUCAAACCUGUCGGUCGUUAAUUCGGCAGUGGUUCGACUCCACCUUCGGUGC